Molecule: unclassified non-coding RNA, 457 nt
Filed under: Athalia rosae (coleseed sawfly)
Lineage: Eukaryota; Metazoa; Arthropoda; Insecta; Hymenoptera; Athaliidae
Description: misc RNA ENSAEAG00005010000.1
Source: RNAcentral
GUUACAGCUUCAAAAUUUCCAAGAAGAAUUCUCGCUUUUACAUCUACUGUAAGGCAUUUGAAACCUCGUCAAUCUUCGAUAUCUCGAUUAGUAAAUUCGCGCCUCCGUAUUUUCGGUCACGUGACAACGAAUUCAAACUCGACAUCAAAGGACGAAAUUCUCACUUCUACUGUCUUCACCAUCCUCGUCGUCAGGGCCAAGCCCGCUUCCGGAGGCCUCAAGGUCGUCGCGGACUUCACCACCCCCACGCCCAGAGCCUUCAAAGUCCCCCUGAUCCUCCAAGUAAAUGUCGUCCUCCAAAUACGAAUUGUAGGACGCACCUCCUGCCGUCCUGUCUUUGCUGCUCUGCUGUUCUUUCUGCAACGAGAAAUCAUCGAAAAGAUAAUUAUUAAUACAUCGAUCUCAUGUACCUACUGCAAUAUCCAUAAAGCGAAAUGUCUUGUAUCGUAAUUACAAU